This 121-nucleotide antisense RNA is filed under the name Gallibacterium salpingitidis. RNAcentral's name for it is "Aggregatibacter sRNA 96". It matches the Rfam family "Aggregatibacter sRNA 96". Rfam says of the family: Validated by RT-PCR. Antisense gene: HK1651_08600. The record is from Rfam by way of RNAcentral. Lineage: Bacteria; Pseudomonadati; Pseudomonadota; Gammaproteobacteria; Pasteurellales; Pasteurellaceae.
AUUGAUUUCAGCAAUCGCUUCUUCACCCUCUUUACCAGUUUUCUUAAUAUAUUCUUCAUAGUAUGGUUUCAUUGCUUCUUUGAAUGGAGCAAGAUCUGGUUUAGUAACUGUCAUACCUUUU